AAAGCUUUAAGUUAAAGAUAAACUAUUAACCUUCAAAGUUAAAAAUAUAAACUAUUAUAAGCUUUA
This 66-nucleotide transfer RNA is filed under the name Dalpada cinctipes. Its description in RNAcentral is "tRNA-Trp". The record is from RNAcentral. Lineage: Eukaryota; Metazoa; Arthropoda; Insecta; Hemiptera; Pentatomidae.